CCCUUAGAUGUCCGGGGCCGCACGCGCGCUACAAUGACGGUGCCAACGAGUCUGACCUUCUGGCCCGAAAGGGUUGGGCAAACUGGUCAAUCACCGUCAUGACAGGGAUCGGGGCUUGGAAUUGUUCCCCGUGAACGAGGAAUUCCUAGUAAGUGCAAGUCAUAAGCUUGCGCUGAUUACGUCCCUGCCCUUUGUACACACCGCCUCGAUCCCUGUCCUC
This 220-nucleotide ribosomal RNA is filed under the name Pseudomonas syringae pv. actinidiae. RNAcentral's name for it is "partial 16S ribosomal RNA". It matches the Rfam family "Eukaryotic small subunit ribosomal RNA", at positions 1470 to 1690 of the family's 1831-position model. Lineage: Bacteria; Pseudomonadati; Pseudomonadota; Gammaproteobacteria; Pseudomonadales; Pseudomonadaceae. The record is from RNAcentral.